GCGGAGGAAAAGAAACCAACAGGGAUUGCCCUAGUAACGGCGAGUGAAGCGGCAACAGCUCAAAUUUGAAAUCUGGCGUCUUUGGCGUCCGAGUUGUAAUUUGCAGAGGGCGCUUUGGUAUUGGCAGCGGUCCAAGUUCCUUGGAACAGGACGUCACAGAGGGUGAGAAUCCCGUACGUGGUCGCUAACCUUUACCGUGUAAAGCCCCUUCGACGAGUCGAGUUGUUUGGGAAUGCAGCUCUAAAUGGGAGGUAAAUUUCUUCUAAAGCUAAAUACUGGCCAGAGACCGAUAGCGCACAAGUAGAGUGAUCGAAAGAUGAAAAGCACUUUGGAAAGAGAGUUAAAAAGCACGUGAAAUUGUUGAAAGGGAAGCGCUUGCAGCCAGACUUGCUUGUAGUUGCUCAUCCGGGUUUUUACCCGGUGCACUCUUCUAUAAGCAGGCCAGCAUCAGUUUGGGCGGUUGGAUAAAGGUCUCUGUCAUGUACCUCUCUUCGGGGAGAACUUAUAGGGGAGACGACAUGCAACCAGCCUGGACUGAGGUCCGCGCAUCUGCUAGGAUGCUGGCGUAAUGGCUGUAAGCGGCCCGUCUUGAAACACGGACCAAGGAGUCUAACAUCUAUGCGAGUGUUUGGGUGUCAAGCCCGAGCGCGUAAUGAAAGUGAACGGAGGUGGGAACCUUUCGGGGUGCACCAUCGACCGAUCCUGAUGUCUUCGGAUGGAUUUGAGUAAGAGCAUAGCUGUUGGGACCCGAAAGAUGGUGAACUAUGCUUGAAUAGGGUGAAGCCAGAGGAAACUCUGGUGGAGGCUCGCAGCGGUUCUGACGUGCAAAUCGAUCGUCAAAUUUGGGCAUAGGGGCGAAAGACUAAUCGAACUAUCUAGUAGCUGGUUCCUGC
Molecule: ribosomal RNA, 893 nt
Filed under: Sclerophomella sandfjordenica
Lineage: Eukaryota; Fungi; Ascomycota; Dothideomycetes; Pleosporales; Didymellaceae
Description: Calophoma sandfjordenica partial 28S ribosomal RNA
Rfam family: Eukaryotic large subunit ribosomal RNA
Source: RNAcentral